RNAcentral lists this long non-coding RNA (797 nucleotides) under Bos taurus (domestic cattle). Its description in RNAcentral is "long non-coding RNA NONBTAT023841". The record is from RNAcentral. Lineage: Eukaryota; Metazoa; Chordata; Mammalia; Artiodactyla; Bovidae.
GCAGGCUAAAUUCAUGUGAAUGACAUGUACUUGCAGAAGAAGUUGAAUCAGACCAGGAAUUCCUAUAGAAUCGUCGGUAAAAAUAUACACUGACAUAGACCAAUACUAGACUUCAGGAAACUUGAGUUUACCUCUGUUAUACAAGUGGAUUAUUUUAGAGUACUGAAUCAACUCAAAAUUGUAUAAGGAAAAGCAAUUUUAAAAGACAGCUUUGAAAAUGGAGACAUUCACUCGGAACGCUUUCUGAAAAUGGCUUACUUAUUUUAAAUUUAGUUUUAUGCCAAAAACACUUCCAUAUGGUUUCCAUUUUGACUAAUGAGCAACACAGCUGUAAUACUUCUUUGUAAAACAUGUAUCCUUCUUUAAUGCUUUUGAGCAGCUAGAAACUGCUUAAUCGGUAUUUUAAACGUCAUGAUAUUUCCAUGAUGGAAUAUUUCUUCCCUUCCUGGCAACUCUGAUAUCCACCCUUCCACAUUGCAGGGUUUCUUGAUAUCUUAAUCUAGUUGGCCUUGAGCUGUGGUACUGUUUUCUGGCAGCUUCCAUUAUUCAUAUUUUAUUGUGGAAUGUGACAGUAUAAAUAGCUUAUAUCUGAGAGGUCAUUCAUAGGUGUAUGGCUCCACAGGACCCUGUGGGAUUGCCAGGAUGCCCUCAGCCAGCCUGUUUUCCAGUUCUUGAUUCUUCUCAUUGAGACUAAAAGCUUUUGCAGGGUAUCUAGAGUACUUUUAGGGGAGUAGAGAAUCCUUCAUGGCACUCACUGAUAUUGACGUAUUCUGGAGCUUCUCCUUGAUAGGCAUUUU